Molecule: ribosomal RNA, 542 nt
Filed under: Eulithidium perforatum
Lineage: Eukaryota; Metazoa; Mollusca; Gastropoda; Trochida; Phasianellidae
Description: partial 16S ribosomal RNA
Rfam family: Bacterial large subunit ribosomal RNA
Source: RNAcentral
AAAAACAUCGCUCCUUGCUAAAACGUACUCUCACCUUUAAAUAUAAGGAGUCAGGCCUGCCCAGUGAUCUUAGGAUUAAACGGCUGCGGGUAAGACCGCAUUAAAGUAGCACAAUAACUUGCUUUUUAAUUGAAGGCUAGAAUGAACGGUCUAACGAGAGCCAUACUGUCUCUUUAAGAAUAUCUAAAAAUUAAUUUCUAGGUGAAAAAGCCUAGAUACUACUGAGGGACGAGAAGACCCUGUCGAGCUUUAGUGUACCACGACUCGAACAAAAAUGAAACUGUUAGAGUCGUGCUAAUCUUUAGCUGGGACGGCUUAGGGGCAAGAAAAACCCCCUAAUAAUCAAGCUAAUUUAACUAAUAUAUUUGACCCAGUAUUACUGAUCAACGAACAAAGCUACCGCAGGGAUAACAGCGUAAUUUUUUCAAAGAGCUCCUAUCGAAGAGAAAGUUUACGACCUCGAUGUUGGACUAAGAUAUCCCUAAAGUGCAGCAGCUUUAAAGGGUUGGUCUGUUCGACCAUUAAAAUCUUACGUGAUCUGA